Molecule: long non-coding RNA, 235 nt
Filed under: Eurytemora carolleeae
Lineage: Eukaryota; Metazoa; Arthropoda; Copepoda; Calanoida; Temoridae
Description: uncharacterized LOC111702224
Source: RNAcentral
GAAAUUAGGCAUUUGAUCUCUUCCCAUUUUACUAUAUAUAAUAUGAACAAUAGCUGCGCGCACGGACGUAUGUAUGCCUGGAUCCUAAGUGUAGCUUCAGUAAGGCCUAAACCAACCAUGGACGCUGAUGUAAACUUACUUUGAUUUCUUUCUUAAUAGAUGACAUUCGUUUAAACAUCCAAACUCUCUUCUACCAAGUAACACCAUCUGAAUAAAGAAUUAAAGAAAACACAGU